AGCCCGCACUACUCAUAACUGCACUACCCUCUGCCCACUAAAACCUAAUCAUAACACACACGUCACACUCCAGUGCCGCAGUCUCCAGCCUCCCCUCUCCAAGUUUCUCACACUCCUCAAGCUCCCACCAGAGGCUCACCACACUUUUCGGCGGCGGAUUCCAUCACAUCGCAUUUUGUUCUGCGUCGCUCCUUUUCCAGCGCUGUCGUGGCCUCAAUCCAGCGGCUUCGUCGUCUCUUCGAUUUCAGCCCCGUUGUCUACGUCAUCUCACCAUCCAGCAUCUUUCCGUCUCUCUUUGAUUUCUUCUGUCAUAAGCUUUGUUCAGUGGCUGCUGCUGCUAUUGGUUGCGUUGCUGGCGGUCCUGCUUGAUGUUCUUGUCACUGUCGAUAUGGUCACUGGAGUGAACAAGAUGCUGCAAUUUUAGUACCAGGAGACAUAAUCAACAUUAAAUUAGGAGAGAUCAUUCCGGCCGAUGCUUGUCUUCUCGAGGGCGACCCUCUAAGUGUUGAUCAGUCUGCUUUAACAGGAGAAUCUCUUCUAGUGACCAAGAACCCCACUGAUGAAGUAUUUACUAGAUCAACAGUCAAGAAGGGUGAGAUAGAAGCAGUUGUGAUUGCCACUGGUGUGCACACAUUCUUAAGUAAAGCGGCUCAUUUGGUGGAUACGCUAACCAAGUUGGACACUUCUAGAAAGUGCUUACAGCAAUUGGUAACUUCUGCAUUUUCUCAAUUGCUAAAAACAUAUGAUGACUAUUGAGGAAAUGGCUGGGAUGGAUGUCCUCUGCAGUGACAAAACUGUAACCUUGACAUUGAAUAAGCUCAAUGUUGAUAGAAACUUGAUUGAGGUAUUUGCUAAGGGUGUUGAGAAGGAGUAUGUUAUCCUUCUUGCUGCAAGGGCCUCUAGGACCAAAAAUUAGGAUGCUAUAGAUGCUGCAAUUGUUGGGAUGCUUGCUGAUCCAAAGGAGGCUCAAGCCAGAAUCAGGGAGGUCCAUUUUCUUCCAUUCAAUCCUGUAGACAAGAGGACUGCUCUAACUUACAUUGAUUCUGAUGAAAAUUGGCACCGUGUGAGCAAAGUGGCUUCGG
This is a non-coding RNA of Arachis ipaensis, 1082 nucleotides long. Lineage: Eukaryota; Viridiplantae; Streptophyta; Magnoliopsida; Fabales; Fabaceae. The record is from RefSeq and is a predicted model, not a curated record.